CGAAGCUGGAUUCGCUAGUAAUCGCGCAUCAGCCACGGCGCGGUGAAUACGUUCCCGGGCCUUGUACACACCGCCCGUCAAGCCAUGGGAGCCGGGGGUACCUGAAGUGCGUAACCGCGAGGAUCGCCCUAGGGUAAAACUGGUGACUGGGGCUAAGUCGUAACAAGGUAGC
This 172-nucleotide ribosomal RNA is filed under the name uncultured bacterium. RNAcentral describes it as "partial 16S ribosomal RNA". It matches the Rfam family "Bacterial small subunit ribosomal RNA", at positions 1321 to 1500 of the family's 1533-position model. The record is from RNAcentral.